Molecule: transfer RNA, 72 nt
Filed under: Bacteroidia bacterium
Lineage: Bacteria; Pseudomonadati; Bacteroidota; Bacteroidia
Description: tRNA-Arg
Rfam family: tRNA
About the family: Transfer RNA (tRNA) molecules are approximately 80 nucleotides in length.
Source: RNAcentral
GGCUCCGUAGUACAAUGGAUAGUAUGCAAGUUUCCGGAACUUGAGAUGUAGGUUCGAUUCCUACCGGGGCUA